Molecule: long non-coding RNA, 249 nt
Filed under: Salvia miltiorrhiza (redroot sage)
Lineage: Eukaryota; Viridiplantae; Streptophyta; Magnoliopsida; Lamiales; Lamiaceae
Description: long non-coding RNA (SMIL_LNC002856)
Source: RNAcentral
GUGUUAUCGAAUUUGGUCAUCGAAUUUGGUCUGAUUUGGUGUAUGAAUUUGGUCUGAUUUGGUGUAUGAAUUUGGUCAUCGAAUUUGGUCAGCUUUUCUGUAUGAAUUUGGUCAUCGAAAUAUCCGAUUUGGACUUUUCUGUAUGAAUUUGGUCAUCGAAUUUCGACUGAAUUUGUUGCUGCUGCUGUAAAAACUAUCGGGUAUUUCGGGUACCCGAAUACCCGAAUCGGAUACCCGACUCGGGUAUUA